AGUGAACGCUGGCGAUAGGCCUAACACAUGCAAGUCGAACGGCAGCACAGUAAGAGCUUGCUCUUACGGGUGGCGAGUGGCGGACGGGUGAGGAAUACAUCGGAAUCUACUUUUUCGUGGGGGACAACGUAGGGAAACUUACGCUAAUACCGCAUACGACCUACGGGUGAAAGCAGGGGAUCUUCGGACCUUGCGCGAUUGAAUGAGCCGAUGUCGGAUUAGCUAGUUGGCGGGGUAAAGGCCCACCAAGGCGACGAUCCGUAGCUGGUCUGAGAGGAUGAUCAGCCACACUGGAACUGAGACACGGUCCAGACUCCUACGGGAGGCAGCAGUGGGGAAUAUUGGACAAUGGGCGCAAGCCUGAUCCAGCCAUACCGCGUGGGUGAAGAAGGCCUUCGGGUUGUAAAGCCCUUUUGUUGGGAAAGAAAAGCAGCAGGUUAAUACCCCGCUGUUCUGACGGUACCCAAAGAAUAAGCACCGGCUAACUUCGUG
This 492-nucleotide ribosomal RNA is filed under the name uncultured bacterium. Its description in RNAcentral is "partial 16S ribosomal RNA". It matches the Rfam family "Bacterial small subunit ribosomal RNA", at positions 29 to 507 of the family's 1533-position model. The record is from RNAcentral.